This 442-nucleotide ribosomal RNA is filed under the name uncultured bacterium. RNAcentral describes it as "partial 16S ribosomal RNA". It matches the Rfam family "Bacterial small subunit ribosomal RNA", at positions 338 to 795 of the family's 1533-position model. The record is from RNAcentral.
CCUACGGGUGGCAGCAGUAGGGAAUCUUUCACAAUGGGCGAAAGCCUGAUGGAGCAACGCCGCGUGAAGGAUGAAGGCCUUCGGGUUGUAAACUGCUUUUAUAAGCGAGAAAUAUGAUGGUAACUUAUGAAUAAGGAUCGGCUAACUACGUGCCAGCAGCCGCGGUCAUACGUAGGAUCCGAGCAUUAUCCGGGGUGACUGGGUGUAAAGAGUUGCGUAGGUGGCAUAAUAAGUAGCUAGUGAAAUCUGGUGGCUCAACCAUUCAGACGAUUAGCUAAACUGUUAAGCUCGAGACCGUUAGGGGUAACUGGAAUUUCUAGUGUAGGAGUGAAAUCCGUAGAUAUUAGAAGGAACACCAAUAGCGUAGGCAGGUUGCUGGGACGGUUCUGACACUAAGGCACGAAAGCGUAGGGAGCAAACGGGAUUAGAUACCCUAGUAGUC